This 2797-nucleotide ribosomal RNA is filed under the name Bacillus anthracis (anthrax bacterium). RNAcentral describes it as "bacterial LSU rRNA". It matches the Rfam family "Bacterial large subunit ribosomal RNA". The record is from RNAcentral. Lineage: Bacteria; Bacillati; Bacillota; Bacilli; Caryophanales; Bacillaceae.
UUUGGUUAAGUUAGAAAGGGCGCACGGUGGAUGCCUUGACACUAGGAGUCGAUGAAGGACGGGACUAACGCCGAUAUGCUUCGGGGAGCUGUAAGUAAGCUUUGAUCCGAAGAUUUCCGAAUGGGGAAACCCACCAUACGUAAUGGUAUGGUAUCCUUAUCUGAAUACAUAGGGUAAGGAAGACAGACCCAGGGAACUGAAACAUCUAAGUACCUGGAGGAAGAGAAAGCAAAUGCGAUUUCCUGAGUAGCGGCGAGCGAAACGGAACAUAGCCCAAACCAAGAGGCUUGCCUCUUGGGGUUGUAGGACAUUCUAUACGGAGUUACAAAGGAACGAGGUAGACGAAGCGACCUGGAAAGGUCCGUCGUAGAGGGUAACAACCCCGUAGUCGAAACUUCGUUCUCUCUUGAAUGUAUCCUGAGUACGGCGGAACACGUGAAAUUCCGUCGGAAUCUGGGAGGACCAUCUCCCAAGGCUAAAUACUCCCUAGUGAUCGAUAGUGAACCAGUACCGUGAGGGAAAGGUGAAAAGCACCCCGGAAGGGGAGUGAAAGAGAUCCUGAAACCGUGUGCCUACAAAUAGUCAGAGCCCGUUAAUGGGUGAUGGCGUGCCUUUUGUAGAAUGAACCGGCGAGUUACGAUCCCGUGCGAGGUUAAGCUGAAGAGGCGGAGCCGCAGCGAAAGCGAGUCUGAAUAGGGCGUUUAGUACGUGGUCGUAGACCCGAAACCAGGUGAUCUACCCAUGUCCAGGGUGAAGUUCAGGUAACACUGAAUGGAGGCCCGAACCCACGCACGUUGAAAAGUGCGGGGAUGAGGUGUGGGUAGCGGAGAAAUUCCAAUCGAACCUGGAGAUAGCUGGUUCUCCCCGAAAUAGCUUUAGGGCUAGCCUUAAGUGUAAGAGUCUUGGAGGUAGAGCACUGAUUGGACUAGGGGUCCUCAUCGGAUUACCGAAUUCAGUCAAACUCCGAAUGCCAAUGACUUAUCCUUAGGAGUCAGACUGCGAGUGAUAAGAUCCGUAGUCAAAAGGGAAACAGCCCAGACCGCCAGCUAAGGUCCCAAAGUGUGUAUUAAGUGGAAAAGGAUGUGGAGUUGCUUAGACAACUAGGAUGUUGGCUUAGAAGCAGCCACCAUUUAAAGAGUGCGUAAUAGCUCACUAGUCGAGUGACUCUGCGCCGAAAAUGUACCGGGGCUAAAUACACCACCGAAGCUGCGGAUUGAUACCAAUGGUAUCAGUGGUAGGGGAGCGUUCUAAGGACAGUGAAGUCAGACCGGAAGGACUGGUGGAGUGCUUAGAAGUGAGAAUGCCGGUAUGAGUAGCGAAAGACGGGUGAGAAUCCCGUCCACCGAAUGCCUAAGGUUUCCUGAGGAAGGCUCGUCCGCUCAGGGUUAGUCAGGACCUAAGCCGAGGCCGACAGGCGUAGGCGAUGGACAACAGGUUGAUAUUCCUGUACCACCUCUUUAUCGUUUGAGCAAUGGAGGGACGCAGAAGGAUAGAAGAAGCGUGCGAUUGGUUGUGCACGUCCAAGCAGUUAGGCUGAUAAGUAGGCAAAUCCGCUUAUCGUGAAGGCUGAGCUGUGAUGGGGAAGCUCCUUAUGGAGCGAAGUCUUUGAUUCCCCGCUGCCAAGAAAAGCUUCUAGCGAGAUAAAAGGUGCCUGUACCGCAAACCGACACAGGUAGGCGAGGAGAGAAUCCUAAGGUGUGCGAGAGAACUCUGGUUAAGGAACUCGGCAAAAUGACCCCGUAACUUCGGGAGAAGGGGUGCUUUCUUAACGGAAAGCCGCAGUGAAUAGGCCCAAGCGACUGUUUAGCAAAAACACAGCUCUCUGCGAAGCCGUAAGGCGAAGUAUAGGGGGUGACACCUGCCCGGUGCUGGAAGGUUAAGGAGAGGGGUUAGCGUAAGCGAAGCUCUGAACUGAAGCCCCAGUAAACGGCGGCCGUAACUAUAACGGUCCUAAGGUAGCGAAAUUCCUUGUCGGGUAAGUUCCGACCCGCACGAAAGGUGUAACGAUUUGGGCACUGUCUCAACCAGAGACUCGGUGAAAUUAUAGUACCUGUGAAGAUGCAGGUUACCCGCGACAGGACGGAAAGACCCCGUGGAGCUUUACUGUAGCCUGAUAUUGAAUUUUGGUACAGUUUGUACAGGAUAGGCGGGAGCCUUUGAAACCGGAGCGCUAGCUUCGGUGGAGGCGCUGGUGGGAUACCGCCCUGACUGUAUUGAAAUUCUAACCUACGGGUCUUAUCGACCCGGGAGACAGUGUCAGGUGGGCAGUUUGACUGGGGCGGUCGCCUCCUAAAGUGUAACGGAGGCGCCCAAAGGUUCCCUCAGAAUGGUUGGAAAUCAUUCGUAGAGUGCAAAGGCAUAAGGGAGCUUGACUGCGAGACCUACAAGUCGAGCAGGGACGAAAGUCGGGCUUAGUGAUCCGGUGGUUCCGCAUGGAAGGGCCAUCGCUCAACGGAUAAAAGCUACCCCGGGGAUAACAGGCUUAUCUCCCCCAAGAGUCCACAUCGACGGGGAGGUUUGGCACCUCGAUGUCGGCUCAUCGCAUCCUGGGGCUGUAGUCGGUCCCAAGGGUUGGGCUGUUCGCCCAUUAAAGCGGUACGCGAGCUGGGUUCAGAACGUCGUGAGACAGUUCGGUCCCUAUCCGUCGUGGGCGUAGGAAAUUUGAGAGGAGCUGUCCUUAGUACGAGAGGACCGGGAUGGACGCACCGCUGGUGUACCAGUUGUUCUGCCAAGGGCAUAGCUGGGUAGCUAUGUGCGGAAGGGAUAAGUGCUGAAAGCAUCUAAGCAUGAAGCCCCC